CUUAGAGGCAGCCACCCUUGAAAGAGUGCGUAACAGCUCACUGGUCAAGUGUUCGGGCGCGGAUAAUGUAACGGGGCUCAAGCUAGACACCGAAGCUGCGGGUGCGUGAGGACUUCGGUCCGAUCGCGCGGUAGGAGAGCGUUCCCAUGCCAGCGAAGCGGCGGCGGAAGCCAGCCGUGGAGGCAUGGGAAGUGAGAAUGCCGGCAUGAGUAACGAAAGAGGGGUGAGAAUCCCCUCCACCGAUUGCCCAAGGAUUCCUGAGUAAAGUUCGUCUGCUCAGGGUUAGUCGGGACCUAAGGCGAGGCCGAAAGGCGUAGUCGAUGGCCAACAGGUUGAUAUUCCUGUACCACGUCGAGUCCGUUUGACCGAUGGAGGGACGAGGACGGCUAAGGGAACCCAGGCGAUGGUCGCCCUGGGGUAAGCGUGUAGGGGUGGUCCUAGGCAAAUCCGGGACCGCAUAACCUGAGGCGCGAUGCCAGCUGGCUUUAGAGCCGGCGAGUCCCUGACGCCAUGCCUCCAAGAAAAGCUCCUAGGGAGGACUCGCGUGCCCGUACCAAAACCGACACAGGUGGACAAGUAGAGAAUACUAAGGUGAUCGAGAUAACCAUCGUUAAGGAACUCGGCAAAAUCGCCCCGUAACUUCGGGAGAAGGGGCGCCCCAGUAGGGUGAAGCUCUUCGCGAGUGGAGCCCGAGGGGGCCGCAGUGAAUUGGCUGAAGCGACUGUUUACCAAAAACACAGGUCUCUGCUAAGUCGAAAGACGACGUAUAGGGGCUGACGCCUGCCCGGUGCCGGAAGGUUACGUGGAGGUGUUAGGGCUUGACCCGAAGCACUGAAGCUAAGCCCCGGUAAACGGCGGCCGUAACUAUAACGGUCCUAAGGUAGCGAAAUUCCUUGUCGGGUAAGUUCCGACCUGCACGAAUGGCGUAACGACUUCAGCGCUGUCUCAACGAGGGGCUCGGUGAAAUUGCAGUCUCGGUGAAGAUGCCGAGUACCCGCGGCUAGACGGAAAGACCCCGUGAACCUUUACUACAACUUGGUAUUGGGAUUCGGUGCACUUCGCUCAGGAUAGGUGGGAGGCUUUGAAGCUCCGGCUGCGGCCGGGGUGGAGCCAACCUUGAGAUACCACCCUUGGUGUAUUGGAUUUCUAACACCGCGCCGUGAAUCCGGGCGGUGAACAGUGCCAGGCGGGUAGUUUGACUGGGGCGGUCGCCUCCCAAAAUGUAACGGAGGCGCACAAAGGUUCCCUCAGCACGGUUGGAAAUCGUGCGUAGAGUGUAAAGGCAGCAAGGGAGCUUGACUGCGAGACCGACAGGUCGAGCAGGUGCGAAAGCAGGUCUUAGUGAUCCGGCGGUAGCAAGUGGAAGUGCCGUCGCUCAACGGAUAAAAGGUACUCCGGGGAUAACAGGCUUAUCGGGCCCAAGAGUCCACAUCGACGGCCCGGUUUGGCACCUCGAUGUCGGCUCGUCGCAUCCUGGGGCUGGAGUAGGUCCCAAG
RNAcentral lists this ribosomal RNA (1496 nucleotides) under soil metagenome. RNAcentral's name for it is "bacterial LSU rRNA". It matches the Rfam family "Bacterial large subunit ribosomal RNA", at positions 1105 to 2569 of the family's 2925-position model. The record is from RNAcentral.